This 269-nucleotide long non-coding RNA is filed under the name Gossypium barbadense (sea-island cotton). Its description in RNAcentral is "long non-coding RNA (GBAR_LNC010360)". The record is from RNAcentral. Lineage: Eukaryota; Viridiplantae; Streptophyta; Magnoliopsida; Malvales; Malvaceae.
GUACCAGCCUUACACCAUGUGGGGAGACUACUCGACCCAUCCAACCGCUACACACCAUAGAAAUCACAGCGAGGCUACCAGAUAUUGUGACGAAGUCACCAGAUACAGAUAUUGUGGCAGAGCCACCAGAACAGAUAUAUGUGGCAGAGCCACCAAAUCAGAUAAUUAUGGCAUAGCCACCAGGACAGAUAUAUGUGGCAGAGCCACCAGAUCAGAUAAUUGUGGCAUAGGCACCAGGACGCUUCCUCCAUAGUAUAACCCAAGUCCCC